UAGCAAGAAAGGGAAGCUGCCUAUCGU
Molecule: non-coding RNA, 27 nt
Filed under: Homo sapiens (human)
Lineage: Eukaryota; Metazoa; Chordata; Mammalia; Primates; Hominidae
Source: RNAcentral